UGAGAGUUUGAUCCUGGCUCAGAACGAACGCUGGCGGCAGGCCUCAAACAUGCAAGUCUAGGGGGUGUAGCAAUACAUCACCGGCGGACGGGUGCGUAACACGUGGGAAUAUACCUUUCGGUACGGAACAACUGCGGGAAACUGCAGCUAAUACCGUAUACGUCCUAGCGGAGAAAGAUUUAUCGCCGAAGGAUUAGCCCGCGUUCGAUUAGCUAGUUGGUGGGGUAAUGGCCCACCAAGGCGACGAUCGAUAGCUGUUCUGAGAGGAAGAUCAGCCACACUGGGACUGAGACACGGCCCAGACUCCUACGGGAGGCAGCAGUUGGGAAUCUUGGACAAUGGGGGAAACCCUGAUCCAGCCAUGCCGCGUGAGUGAUGAAGGCCUUCGGGUUGUAAAACUCUUUCGACGGGGACGAUAAUGACGGUACCCGUAGAAGAAGCUCCGGCUAACUUCGUGCCAGCAGCCGCGGUAAUACGAAGGGGGCUAGCGUUGUUCGGAAUUACUGGGCGUAAAGCACGCGCAGAACCUUACCAGGGUUUGACAUCCUACGACCGCUCCCUAAUAGGAGUUUUCCCGCAAGGGACGUAGAGACAGGUGCUGCAUGGCUGUCGUCAGCUCGUGUCGUGAGAUGUUGGGUUAAGUCCCGCAACGAGCGCAACCCUCGCCUUUAGUUGCCAUCAUUAAGUUGGGCACUCUAGAGGGACCGCCGGCGACAAGCCGGAGGAAGGUGGGGAUGACGUCAAGUCCUCAUGGCCCUUACACCCUGGGCUACACACGUGCUACAAUGGCGGUGACAGUGGGCAGCUACUUCGCGAGAAGCGGCUAAUCCCAAAAAACCGUCCCAGUUCAGAUUGCACUCUGCAACUCGAGUGCAUGAAGGUGGAAUCGCUAGUAAUCGCAGAACAGCAGGCUGCGGUGAAUACGUUCCCGGGCCUUGUACACACCGCCCGUCACGGCAUGGGAGUUGGUUCUACCUUAAGACGGUGCGCUAACCGCAAGGAGGCAGCCGGCCACGGUAGGAUCAGCGACUGGGCCGAAGUCGUAACAAGGUAGCCGUAGGGGAACCUGCGGCUG
This 1075-nucleotide ribosomal RNA is filed under the name metagenome. RNAcentral describes it as "bacterial SSU rRNA". It matches the Rfam family "Bacterial small subunit ribosomal RNA". The record is from RNAcentral.